GUGUCAUAUGAAAGGAGAGAAGGUUAGCAUUCCUCCUGACAAGGCUGGAAGAGGCCCUUGGGUCUAUCUUGGGUCUUGGAUACUGUCUAGCUUAAGAAAAAAACACUUAACCUCUCUGAGCUUCAAUUUUUU
Molecule: small nuclear RNA, 132 nt
Organism: Saimiri boliviensis boliviensis (Bolivian squirrel monkey)
Lineage: Eukaryota; Metazoa; Chordata; Mammalia; Primates; Cebidae
Source: Ensembl